CCUACGGGUGGCAGCAGUGGGGAAUAUUGGGCAAUGGGCGCAAGCCUGACCCAGCAACGCCGCGUGAAGGAAGAAGGCUUUCGGGUUGUAAACUUCUUUUCUCAGGGACGAAGAAAGUGACGGUACCUGAGGAAUAAGCCACGGCUAACUACGUGCCAGCAGCCGCGGUAAUACGUAGGUGGCAAGCGUUAUCCGGAUUUACUGGGUGUAAAGGGCGUGUAGGCGGGGAAGCAAGUCAGAUGUGAAAACCACGGGCUCAACCUGUGGCCUGCAUUUGAAACUGUUUUUCUUGAGUACUGGAGAGGCAGACGGAAUUCCUAGUGUAGCGGUGGAAUGCGUAGAUAUUAGGAGGAACAUCAGGGGCGAAGGCGACUUACUGGACUGUAACUGACACUGAGGCACGAAAGCGUGGGGAGCAAACAGGAUUAGAUACCCCAGUAGUC
RNAcentral lists this ribosomal RNA (443 nucleotides) under uncultured bacterium. Its description in RNAcentral is "partial 16S ribosomal RNA". It matches the Rfam family "Bacterial small subunit ribosomal RNA", at positions 338 to 795 of the family's 1533-position model. The record is from RNAcentral.